UACGUAGGUGGCAAGCGUUAUCCGGAAUUAUUGGGCGUAAAGAGGGAGCAGGCGGCAGCAAAGGUCUGUGGUGAAAGACUGAAGCUUAACUUCAGUAAGCCAUAGAAACCGGGCAGCUGGAGUGCAGGAGAGGAUCGUGGAAUUCCAUGUGUAGCGGUGAAAUGCGUAGAUAUAUGGAGGAACACCAGUGGCGAAGGCGACGAUCUGGCCUGCAACUGACGCUCAGUCCCGAAAGCGUGGGGAGCAAAUAGG
RNAcentral lists this ribosomal RNA (252 nucleotides) under uncultured bacterium. RNAcentral describes it as "partial 16S ribosomal RNA". It matches the Rfam family "Bacterial small subunit ribosomal RNA", at positions 524 to 776 of the family's 1533-position model. The record is from RNAcentral.